This 376-nucleotide unclassified non-coding RNA is filed under the name soil metagenome. RNAcentral's name for it is "partial contains 5.8S ribosomal RNA, internal transcribed spacer 2, and large subunit ribosomal RNA". The stretch from base 1 to 120 matches the Rfam family "5.8S ribosomal RNA", at positions 35 to 154 of the family's 154-position model. The record is from RNAcentral.
GAUGAAGAACGCAGCGAAAUGCGAUAAGUAAUGUGAAUUGCAGAAUUCAGUGAAUCAUCGAAUCUUUGAACGCAUCUUGCGCUCCUUGGUAUUCUGAGGAGCAUGCCUGUUUGAGUGUCAUUAAAUUCUCAACUACACUGACUUUGAAUUGGUGUGGCUUGGAUUUGGGGGGAAAAUUGUUGUGGGCUUUUUGUAUAGUCUGCUCCCCUGAAAUUGAUUAGCGGUACCUUUGUGGAACUGUCUACAGGUGUGAUAAUUAUCUACAUCUUAGACAUCUGCUGGAAUGCUGCUUUCUAAACCUUACUUGUAUUGACAAUCUUGACCUCAAAUCAGGUAGGACUACCCGCUGAACUUAAGCAUAUCAAUCAGCGGAGGA